This 266-nucleotide ribosomal RNA is filed under the name uncultured bacterium. RNAcentral describes it as "partial 16S ribosomal RNA". It matches the Rfam family "Bacterial small subunit ribosomal RNA", at positions 524 to 786 of the family's 1533-position model. The record is from RNAcentral.
UACGUAGGGGCUAGCGUUGUCCGGAAUCAUUGGGCGUAAAGAGCGUGUAGGCGGCUCGGUAAGUCCGCUGUAAAAGUCAAGGCUCAACCUUGAAUGUCAGUGGAUACUGCCGGGCUAGAGUCCGGAAGAGGCGAGUGGAACUCCUGGUGUAGGCGGUGAAAAAUGCGCAGAUAUCAGGAGGAACACCGGUGGCGAAGGCGGUCUCUGGCGCGUACUGACGCUGAGGAACGAAAAGCGUGGGGGAGCGAAACAGGAUUAGAACUACC